UGGUGGGUAGUUUGACUGGGGCGGUCUCCUCCUAAAGAGUAACGGAGGAGCACGAAGGUUGGCUAAUCCUGGUCGGACAUCAGGAGGUUAGUGCAAUGGCAUAAGCCAGCUUGACUGCGAGCGUGACGGCGCGAGCAGGUGCGAAAGCAGGUCAUAGUGAUCCGGUGGUUCUGAAUGGAAGGGCCAUCGCUCAACGGAUAAAAGGUACUCCGGGGAUAACAGGCUGAUACCGCCCAAGAGUUCAUAUCGACGGCGGUGUUUGGCACCUCGAUGUCGGCUCAUCACAUCCUGGGGCUGAAGUAGGUCCCAA
Molecule: ribosomal RNA, 310 nt
Filed under: Salmonella enterica subsp. enterica serovar Typhimurium
Lineage: Bacteria; Pseudomonadati; Pseudomonadota; Gammaproteobacteria; Enterobacterales; Enterobacteriaceae
Description: partial 23S ribosomal RNA
Rfam family: Bacterial large subunit ribosomal RNA
Source: RNAcentral